RNAcentral lists this ribosomal RNA (875 nucleotides) under uncultured archaeon. RNAcentral describes it as "bacterial SSU rRNA". It matches the Rfam family "Archaeal small subunit ribosomal RNA", at positions 17 to 879 of the family's 1478-position model. The record is from RNAcentral.
CCGGACCCGACUGCUAUUUGGGUGAGGAUAAGCCAUGCGAGUUGAAUGGGAAACCUAAAAAUCCCAUGGCAAACUGCUCAGUAACACAUGAUCAACUUACCCUAUAGAGGAAAAUAACCUCGGGAAACUGAGGAUAAUGUUCCAUAGUUGAAUCGGCUUGGAAAAGUUUUUCAAUAAAAGGGAUAAGGAAAAUGGCCCUUAUCUGCUAUAGGAUAGGAUCGUGCUCGAUUAUGGUUGUUGGUGAGGUAAAGGCUCACCAAGCCGAUAAUCGAUAGGGGCCGUGAGAGCGGGAGCCCCGAGAUGGGUACUGAGACAACGACCCAGGCCUUACGAGGCGCAGCAGGCGCGAAACCUCCGCAAUACACGAAAGUGUGACGGGGUUACCCAAAGUGUUCAUUAGAACUGUGGUAGGUGAGUAAUGUUCCCUACUAGAAGGGAGAGGGCAAGGCUGGUGCCAGCCGCCGCGGUAAAACCAGCUCUUCAAGUGGUCGGGAUAAUUAUUGGGCUUAAAGUGUCCGUAGCCGGUUUAGUAAGUUCCUGGUAAAAUCGGGUAGCUUAACUAUCUAUAUGCUAGGAAUACUGCUAUACUAGAGGGCGGGAGAGGUCUGAGGUACUACAGGGGUAGGGGUGAAAUCUUAUAAUCCUUGUAGGACCACCAGUGGCGAAGGCGUCAGACUGGAACGCGCCUGACGGUGAGGGACGAAAGCCAGGGGAGCGAACCGGAUUAGAUACCCGGGUAGUCCUGGCCGUAAACGAUGCAUACUAGGUGAUGGCACGGCCAUGAGCCGUGUCAGUGCCGUAGGGAAACCGUUAAGUGUGCCGCCUGGGAAGUACGGUCGCAAGGCUAAAACUUAAAGGAAUUGGCGGGGGAGCAC